GACGAACGCUGGCGGCGUGCUUAACACAUGCAAGUCGAACGGAAAGGCCCUGCUUUUGUGGGGUGCUCGAGUGGCGAACGGGUGAGUAACACGUGAGUAACCUGCCCUUGACUUUGGGAUAACUUCAGGAAACUGGGGCUAAUACCGGAUAGGAGCUCCUGCUGCAUGGUGGGGGUUGGAAAGUUUCGGCGGUUGGGGAUGGACUCGCGGCUCAUCAGCUUGUUGGUGGGGUAGUGGCUUACCAAGGCUUUGACGGGUAGCCGGCCUGAGAGGGUGACCGGCCACAUUGGGACUGAGAUACGGCCCAGACUCCUACGGGAGGCAGCAGGGGGGAAUAUUGCACAAUGGGCGGAAGCCUGAUGCAGCAACGCCGCGUGCGGGAUAACGGCCUUCGGGUUGUAAACCGCUUUCGCCUGUGACGAAGCGUGAGUGACGGUAAUGGGUAAAGAAGCACCGGCUAACUACGUG
This 468-nucleotide ribosomal RNA is filed under the name uncultured bacterium. Its description in RNAcentral is "partial 16S ribosomal RNA". It matches the Rfam family "Bacterial small subunit ribosomal RNA", at positions 28 to 507 of the family's 1533-position model. The record is from RNAcentral.